Long non-coding RNA from Haemorhous mexicanus (house finch), 404 nucleotides. RefSeq lists it as uncharacterized. NCBI's taxonomy places the organism in Eukaryota, Metazoa, Chordata, Aves, Passeriformes, Fringillidae. The record is from RefSeq and is a predicted model, not a curated record. The transcript has 3 exons.
UCCCAGCACUAAUUUCUGGCAUACAAGUUCAGGAAAGGUGGACCUGUGGCAGUAACUCCAUGUCAAUGCGCAAAGCACAGUUUCUUUUCCCGUUGGCUGUUCUCAGCUGGGCAAGAAUGAAAUCAUACCAUAAAAUGAUGAAUGAAUUCCAGCUCAAGACAUCGCUUACCACCCCUGGAGAAGGAGAAGACGCCUCUCACAAGUAUCUAUCAACAGCAUGAAGAGCAAAAGACCUGGAUGCUGCACUCCUCUGGGUGAUGUUUCAGCCUUUACUGGAAAUCAAGCUUACCAGCUCCUAGACCAUCCCAACUGCUCAGUGAGACGCCAGCGGCCUUUGUGUUUCCCCAAACUGAAGAGAAGACACCAAGUCCUCACUUUGUGGUGCAGGUGAAUAUGCAUGACAA